AAUGAAGAUAUAUCAAAUUUAAUCAAACGAAGCGCUAAAAAGUCCCAAAUUAAAAUAAAAGUAAAACCUCACGAACGCUAAAUUAAAUAGGAUUCUACGAAUACCAUUCACUGUUCGAACUGACAAUUAUCUUAAUUUUCCCCAAUAUUAAAAUGUAUUUCUACGUAAAUUUUUAAAAUAAUCAACCCCAAAUUCAUUAUGCCUACAUUACAAAAUCCGAAUCAUUGUCACUAGUCGUGAGCUACAAAAAGGAACAAAAACUAUUCACUACUGUAUAAGGAUGACAAAUGUCCGUGUCCAUUGAUCGUGCUUAUCGUAUCAUUAACAGUUCUGCCACCUUUGAACAAGGUAAUAGCCGUGUGAGGAGUGAUGACAACAUUUUUGCUUGCUUGUCUUGUAAUUCUGGUAUCCACAGCAGUAGGAACCUCCCGAUUUCAACAACAGGUUGUAGCCGCAGCAAACAUGAGUAGAGGAAUUGUAGUUGACCGUUCCACAACAAGAAGUGCCUUUUGAUCUUGAACGUAUAUUACCGUUGCAGCAUAUGUGAACACUCACGUGAUAGAUAUUUGCGCCACAGCAGCGAGUGUAGGAUGAAUACGAUUUUGAUGUGACGUUAUUGUUGCAACAUUGAUCACCAGACGAAUUUGCCAAGAUAUUGCCGUUACAACAAACUGCUGUUAAUGGAUUAUAGUUUUGUGUUCCGCAGCACGCAGUACCAGAGCUUCUUCUGAGCACUUUAUAGCUGCAACAGACUUGUGUGCCUGGAUCGUAGUGUGUGUUUCCACAACAACUGAAAUGGGAAGCGGAUAUGAUCUUGUUGCCGCAACAUUUGUAGUUCAGUGGAUCAUAAACUUCAGAUGCACAGCAUUGAAAGUUAGGAGGAAUAUUAGUGUGAACCUUUCCAUUGCAACAAACAGCCCUGUAUGGAUCAUAGUUGACAGCACCGCAACAAGACAAACCAUUGGUUAUAUCAAGGAUGCUGCCUUGACAACAGAUAUGCUGAGUUGAGUCGUAAUUUCGGUCACCACAACAGCUCGUACCAUGCUUAAUGGCAUGUACAUUCCGUACACAGCAGAUUUGGGUCUUGGCAUCGUAGGGAUUACUAGAACCACAAGAAGCU
This is a non-coding RNA of Paramuricea clavata, 1120 nucleotides long. Lineage: Eukaryota; Metazoa; Cnidaria; Anthozoa; Malacalcyonacea; Plexauridae. The record is from the annotation of a GenBank genome assembly.